This 301-nucleotide small nuclear RNA is filed under the name Neogale vison (American mink). Its description in RNAcentral is "Neovison vison (American mink) 7SK RNA (ENSNVIG00000011829.1)". It matches the Rfam family "7SK RNA". Rfam says of the family: 7SK was discovered as an abundant small nuclear RNA in the mid-70s but a possible function has only recently been suggested. Two independent studies have found that 7SK RNA binds the CDK9/cyclin T complex (known as elongation factor P-TEFb). P-TEFb activates transcription by phosphorylating the C-terminal domain of RNA polymerase II. Lineage: Eukaryota; Metazoa; Chordata; Mammalia; Carnivora; Mustelidae. The record is from Rfam by way of RNAcentral.
AGAUACGAGGAUGAUCUGGCUGCGAAAUCUGUCACUGCAUUGAUUGCCAGGGUUGAUUUGGCUGAUCUGGCUGGCUAGGCGGAUAUCCCCUUCCUCCCUCACCACUCCAUGUCCGCAUCUCCUUAAGCUGCAUACUCCAUUGAUGACAACGACUUCCUCCUCUGGUUCUUUGUUUAAGGAUAUAGGAGUAGUUGUGCUGCUAGAACCUCCAAAAGAGCUCUCAAGGUCCAUUUGCAGUCAAGCUUCCGAGACUCCAGACACAUUCAAAUGAGGGGCUGCAUGUGGCAGUCUACCUUUCUUU